GAUAAAUUAAGAAAAGACAAAAGCUAAAACAGGGAAGCAUCUCAAUCUAUCUCCAUGCCUCAAAUCCUUUCUCUUUCCUCACGCCAUUCUUCUUCAACUCACCUUGAGGCUUGCAAUCAGGUGGUUCUUCAAAGAGAGAUAAAGAAAGCUGUUUAUGAGCAACGCCAAUGUCGAACAUUAUAAGCCCUGAUCUCGGGUCAUCAACAAUGAUAUCUUUAACAGGCAACCAAAGGAAGAGUUCUUCUUGGGAUAAAC
This 255-nucleotide unclassified non-coding RNA is filed under the name Hevea brasiliensis (rubber tree). The record is from RNAcentral. Lineage: Eukaryota; Viridiplantae; Streptophyta; Magnoliopsida; Malpighiales; Euphorbiaceae.